GUAAUACAAAUAUUGUGUCAUUUUCUUUGGUUUUAUCAAAAGCAAAUCUGAAGGAAAAAAAACCCUUCUCCUUCUCCUUCUACGUGAAACCCUAAUCUAAACAAAAGAAAUCUGAACAAAUCCCCUAACUUACAAAACCCUAAUUGAUUACAACUUCCCCUAAACAACAAAUCCCCAAAUCCACAAAUUUCUAGCCAAAUCCUAACUUAGCAUUUCCUAAUUUUUGUCUGAAUCCCUUACUCAUCAGUGUCGACAACAGCAGAAUCCUAACUUAAAAAAUCCUUCCGACCGCAAGGAUGUUUAUGGUGCAGUUCUUAUGGCUGCACUCAACGAAGAUAACUGAAAAUUUGAAGCACCUCUUUCCUGUGUUCAGAAGAGAACGCCUUCAGAACGCUUUCUUAUUGAAACAAAUUUCUAACUUAACAAAUCCCUAACUCCUUCAAGUUCAGCUAUUUAAACAGUUGUAACUGCAAAAGAAAACAAUGCUCUUUGGAUAUCCAUUUAUCGAGAAUAUAUUCUUGGAUUCCUAGUGAUUUAAAGGUUAUUGAGGCCACAUGGAAUAGAGUUGCGUCAUCUCACUAUAACCAAACUCUUGCUAAGUGGAGAAGUUCGUGGAAAAGAACAAAAGCAUACAUGAAGGUGUUAAAGUAAACAUUUGGAAUUAUUGGCUUAGAAAAUGGGAAUCAGAGGACUGGAAAAAGAAAUCUGAGCAAGCUUCAAAAAACAGAAAUUCAGAACAGGGUGCUCCCGGUACCGGGGUCGCUAAGCAUACAGGAGGAUCCAAAAGUACGAUAGAGCACGCGAAAACAAUGGUGAUGGAAAGUGGUGUGAAUGAAUGGGCAGUUUUUCGAACGUUACAUACGAGGAAAGAUGAGGAAUUUGUUGAUAGCAAAUCCCGUAUUAUUAAUGAUAAGCUAGAAGCCGCUGUUAAUCUUGUCCGUCAACCAUUAGAAGAUGAAACUAUACCCGUAGUUGACAUUAACACGAUAUAUUAUGAUGUUGUUGGUGAUGAGAAGAAAAGGCGUGCAUAGGGAAAGCUAGAACGUAUGCAACAAGAUUGUUUGCGGGGUUUUCAGAGCUUAAAUGGUGAUAAAUAGGUUUUGGAGGCUAUAUCACAUCACCGAAGACUCCACCGUAGUAGUUUUUUUAUCGUUGUAUUUUGUAAAAUUUGUACUUAGACUACUUUUGAUAUUAUUAAAAACUAGUAUGUAUAACUAUAUUUUGAUUUAAUGAAUAGCUACCAUUAAACAUA
Long non-coding RNA from Mercurialis annua (annual mercury), 1252 nucleotides. RefSeq lists it as uncharacterized. The record is from RefSeq and is a predicted model, not a curated record. NCBI's taxonomy places the organism in Eukaryota, Viridiplantae, Streptophyta, Magnoliopsida, Malpighiales, Euphorbiaceae. The transcript is spliced from 6 exons.